This 1383-nucleotide ribosomal RNA is filed under the name Dissoconium sp. DA001. Its description in RNAcentral is "eukaryotic LSU rRNA". It matches the Rfam family "Eukaryotic large subunit ribosomal RNA", at positions 23 to 978 of the family's 3401-position model. Lineage: Eukaryota; Fungi; Ascomycota; Dothideomycetes; Mycosphaerellales; Dissoconiaceae. The record is from RNAcentral.
ACCCGCUGAACUUAAGCAUAUCAAUAAGCGGAGGAAAAGAAACCAACAGGGAUUGCCUCAGUAACGGCGAGUGAAGCGGCAACAGCUCAAAUUUGAAAUCUGGCGCAAGCCCGAGUUGUAAUUUGUAGAGGAUGCUUCUGGGCAGCGGCCGGUCUAAGUUCCUUGGAACAGGACGUCACAGAGGGUGAGAAUCCCGUAUGUGAUCGGCGCGCACCCUCCACGUAGCUCCUUCGACGAGUCGAGUUGUUUGGGAAUGCAGCUCUAAAUGGGAGGUAAAUUUCUUCUAAAGCUAAAUACCGGCCAGAGACCGAUAGCGCACAAGUAGAGUGAUCGAAAGAUGAAAAGCACUUUGGAAAGAGAGUUAAAAAGCACGUGAAAUUGUUGAAAGGGAAGCGCUUCCAACCAGACUUGUCGGCGGUGUUCCCCCGGUCUUCUGACCGGGCUACUCACCGCCAGCAGGCCAGCAUCGUCUGGGGCCGCCGGAGAAACCGUCAGGAAUGUAGCUCCCUCGGGAGUGUUAUAGCCUGGCGACAUGCGGCGCGCCCCGGGCGAGGUCCGCGCAUUGCAAGGAUGCUGGCGUAAUGGUUGGCAGCGGCCCGUCUUGAAACACGGACCAAGGAGUCUAACAUCUAUGCGAGUGUUCGGGUGUCAAACCCCUACGCGUAAUGAAAGUGAACGGAGGUGGGAGCUUCGGCGCACCAUCGACCGAUCCUGAUGUCCUCGGAUGGAUUUGAGUAAGAGCAUAGCUGUUGGGACCCGAAAGAUGGUGAACUAUGCCUGAAUAGGGUGAAGCCAGAGGAAACUCUGGUGGAGGCUCGCAGCGGUUCUGACGUGCAAAUCGAUCGUCAAAUUUGGGUAUAGGGGCGAAAGACUAAUCGAACCAUUAACCGACGACGCCGGGCGGCAGGCCCGGGCGUUACUAGGGUGGUUAAGUGGCAGCUCAAAGUGCUGUCAAGUCCCUCUGUUUGGGGCAACACUGUCAAAUUGUUUCGGGGACGUCCUUUAAAGCCUGCACUACCGGCCCCCGGCCCCCAAAGGGCCGGCGGGCACCGGGUUAAUGCCCCUGGGUAUGGUAAUAACGUGCAGGAUUGGAUAAUCCGCAGCGAAGUCCUACCGGAGGGGGGGUCUGCCCCCCCUUCCCACGGAGCGCGUUCACAGACUAGACGGCAGUGGGUCCCGCGAUCGCGGUCGCGGGGCUUAAGAUAUAGUCGGACCCCUGCCGAAAGGCAGGCCACGGGACAAAGCGACGGAUAAGAACAGCGCGGGGGGCCCCCUCCGUGUAUUCCGCCGCCCGAAUCUCGCGGGACGUUGGCCCCCGGUCACCCGGGGGCGGGCGCCGGGCUACAUGCUAGUAGCUGGUUCCUGCCGAAGUUUCCCUCAGGA